GGGAACGUGGGGGAUGCCUAUAAUGCAAGUCGAACGAGCUUCCGUUGAAUGACGUGCUUGCACUGAUUUCAACAAUGAAGCGAGUGGCGAACUGGUGAGUAACACGUGGGAAAUCUGCCCAGAAGCAGGGGAUAACACUUGGAAACAGGUGCUAAUACCGUAUAACAACAAAAUCCGCAUGGAUUUUGUUUGAAAGGUGGCUUCGGCUAUCACUUCUGGAUGAUCCCGCGGCGUAUUAGUUAGUUGGUGAGGUAAAGGCCCACCAAGACGAUGAUACGUAGCCGACCUGAGAGGGUAAUCGGCCACAUUGGGACUGAGACACGGCCCAAACUCCUACGGGAGGCAGCAGUAGGGAAUCUUCCACAAUGGACGAAAGUCUGAUGGAGCAAUGCCGCGUGAGUGAAGAAGGGUUUCGGCUCGUAAAACUCUGUUGUUAAAGAAGAACACCUUUGAGAGUAACUGUUCAAGGGUUGACGGUAUUUAACCAGAAAGCCACGGCUAACUACGUGCCAGCAGCCGCGGUAAUACGUAGGUGGCAAGCGUUGUCCGGAUUUAUUGGGCGUAAAGCGAGCGCAGGCGGUUUUUUAAGUCUGAUGUGAAAGCCUUCGGCUUAACCGGAGAAGUGCAUCGGAAACUGGGAGACUUGAGUGCAGAAGAGGACAGUGGAACUCCAUGUGUAGCGGUGGAAUGCGUAGAUAUAUGGAAGAACACCAGUGGCGAAGGCGGCUGUCUAGUCUGUAACUGACGCUGAGGCUCGAAAGCAUGGGUAGCGAACAGGAUUAGAUACCCUGGUAGUCCAUGCCGUAAACGAUGAGUGCUAAGUGUUGGAGGGUUUCCGCCCUUCAGUGCUGCAGCUAACGCAUUAAGCACUCCGCCUGGGGGAGUACGACCGCAAGGUUGAAACUCAAAGGAAUUGACGGGGGCCCGCACAAGCGGUGGAGCAUGUGGUUUAAUUCGAAGCUACGCGAAGACCUUACCAGGUCUUGACAUCUUCUGCCAAUCUUAGAGAUAGACGUUCCCUUCGGGGACAGAAUGACAGGUGUGCAUGGUGUCGUCAGCUCGUGUCGUGAGAUGUUGGGUUAGUCCCGCAACGAGCGCAACCCUAUAUCAGUGCAGCAUUCAGUGGCCCUCUGGUGAGACUGCCGGUGACAACGGAGAGGUGGGAUGACGUCAAAUCAUCAUGGCCCUUAUGACCUGGGGUUAA
RNAcentral lists this ribosomal RNA (1204 nucleotides) under Levilactobacillus brevis. Its description in RNAcentral is "bacterial SSU rRNA". It matches the Rfam family "Bacterial small subunit ribosomal RNA", at positions 29 to 1218 of the family's 1533-position model. Lineage: Bacteria; Bacillati; Bacillota; Bacilli; Lactobacillales; Lactobacillaceae. The record is from RNAcentral.